This 496-nucleotide ribosomal RNA is filed under the name uncultured bacterium. Its description in RNAcentral is "partial 16S ribosomal RNA". It matches the Rfam family "Bacterial small subunit ribosomal RNA", at positions 28 to 506 of the family's 1533-position model. The record is from RNAcentral.
GAUGAACGCUGGCGGCGUGCCUAAUACAUGCAAGUCGAGCGAACGGACGAGAAGCUUGCUUCUCUGAUGUUAGCGGCGGACGGGUGAGUAACACGUGGAUAACCUACCUAUAAGACUGGGAUAACUUCGGGAAACCGGAGCUAAUACCGGAUAAUAUUUUGAACCGCAUGGUUCAAAAGUGAAAGACGGUCUUGCUGUCACUUAUAGAUGGAUCCGCGCUGCAUUAGCUAGUUGGUAAGGUAACGGCUUACCAAGGCAACGAUGCAUAGCCGACCUGAGAGGGUGAUCGGCCAAACUGGAACUGAGACAGGGCCCAGACUCCUACGGGAGGCCGCAGUGGGGAAUCUUCCGAAAUGGGCGAAAGCCUGACGGAGCAACGCCGCGGGAGGAAUGAAGGUCUUCGGAUCGUAAAACUCUUUUUUUAGGGAAGAAAAUAUGUGUAAGUAACUGUGCACAUUUUGACGGUACCUAAUCAAAAAGCCCCGGCUAACUACGU